This 252-nucleotide ribosomal RNA is filed under the name uncultured bacterium. Its description in RNAcentral is "partial 16S ribosomal RNA". It matches the Rfam family "Bacterial small subunit ribosomal RNA", at positions 524 to 776 of the family's 1533-position model. The record is from RNAcentral.
UACGGAGGAUGCGAGCGUUAUCCGGAUUUAUUGGGUUUAAAGGGUGCGUAGGCGGAUUUUUAAGUCAGCGGUAAAAUGUCCGGGCUCAACCCGGGCCGGCCGUUGAAACUGGGGAUCUUGAGUGGGCGAGAAGUAUGCGGAAUGCGUGGUGUAGCAGUGAAAUGCAUAGAUAUCACGCAGAACUCCGAUUGCGAAGGCAGCAUACCGGCGCCCGACUGACGCUGAGGCACGAAAGCGUGGGGAUCGAACAGG